AGGUGGGAGGCUUUGAAACCAGGACGCCAGUUUUGGCGGAGCCAUCCUUGGGAUACCACCCUUGUAGUACUGGGACUCUAACCAUAGGCCAUGAAUCUGGUCUUGGGACACUGUCAGGUGGGCAGUUUGACUGGGGCGGUCGCCUCCCAAAAGGUAACGGAGGCGCUCAAAGGUUCUCUCAGUACGGUCGGAAAUCGUACGUAGAGUGUAAAGGCAAAAGAGAGCUUGAUUGCAAGACAUACAGGUCGAGCAAGGAUGAAAAUCGGACUUAGUGAUCCGGUGGUUCUGCGUGGAAGGGCCAUCGCUCAACGGAUAAAAGCUACCCUGGGGAUAACAGGCUUAUCUCCCCCAAGAGUCCACAUCGACGGGGAGGUUUGGCACCUCGAUGUCGGCUCAUCACAUCCUGGGGCUGUAGUAGGUCCCAAGGGUUGGGCUGUUCGCCCAUUAAAGUGGUACGCGAGCUGGGUUCAGAACGUCGUGAGACAGUUCGGUCCCUAUCCGUCGCAGGCGUAGGAAAUUUGAGAAGACCUGUCCUUAGUACGAGA
This 545-nucleotide ribosomal RNA is filed under the name Clostridioides difficile. Its description in RNAcentral is "partial 23S ribosomal RNA". It matches the Rfam family "Bacterial large subunit ribosomal RNA", at positions 2145 to 2688 of the family's 2925-position model. The record is from RNAcentral. Lineage: Bacteria; Bacillati; Bacillota; Clostridia; Peptostreptococcales; Peptostreptococcaceae.